Molecule: long non-coding RNA, 1874 nt
Filed under: Androctonus crassicauda
Lineage: Eukaryota; Metazoa; Arthropoda; Arachnida; Scorpiones; Buthidae
Source: RNAcentral
UGAUGACCAAAAGAUAGAAGAAUUUUCUAAGGAAUUCAUGUUAGAGCAAUAUGGCUUCAGUUUGAAGAGAGACCAGCUUAGUAAAGAAAGCAUACAUUUUCUAGAUCUCCAAAUACAUAUGAAGGAAGGAAGGAUUAGUACUAGCAUCUAUAGGAAGCUGACAUAUAGAGCGAUCUUGAUACCAAGUUGGUCGAAUGACCCGAUAGGCUAUAAAAGGGCAGCUUUCAGGAAUUUCUAUAAAUGAGCAUUAACAUAUUGUAGUGAGAUUAAGGACCAGAAGGAAGAGCUAAAGUAUAUAAUGGAAAUAGGUAAACAACAUGGUUAUGAUAGACCUUUUCUCAUGCAAAUAUUUAGGCAGGUUAAGGGAAAUCUGUGUAGAGAAGAAAAGGAUAACAGAGAGAAGAGGGAUUUCUUGCCAAUUCCCUACAACCUUAAAAACCUCAGGGUUGUUCAGAAAUUAGUAGAAAAAAGUAAAAAAACAGAUAGCACCAGAGAGGAAUCCUACGGUGUUUAAUGUUCUAAGAAAUGAAAAAGACCUGCUAGAGCAAUAUGAGAGAAGAGGUGUGUAUCAAGUGCCCAUAACUGACAACAAUACGAAAGAAAGAUCGGCAUAUAUUGGGGUUACUUCAAGGAUAACAGAAAAAGGGAUCGAGGAGCACAAGAGAGGAACAAGACAAGCGAAACUUAACACAUCGCUGGCCCUAGAAGCUUGUAGUAAAGACAUCAGUAUAGAGUGGAAGGAUGUUAAGCGGAUUAAACCUGUGCCGAACUGCAUGCAGCCAAUUGUGACUGAGUCUAUAGAGAUAUUAAAAAGGUUAGGAAAAGAAAAGCUAGUUAAUGACAGAGUAUCCUGGGAGCUCCCCAGCUUGGAGAUACAUUAUAGAUGACUAUAAGGAGGAAAAUAGCAGGAAAAUGGUUAAUAGGACAGUGCAAGACGAAGGAGAUUGAAGAGGGAUAUGAAAUGGAAUGAAUGUUGGUGGGACUUUAAUAUGAACAUUUAUGUAUAUGUUAAGGAAAUUUUGAUAUGGUGAUUAAUUCUAGUUGAUUUUGGAAUAUAGAAUUUUGAAAUAUAUGAACAUUAAGAAUGUUUUGGAUUACAUAAUGUUUUAUAGUUAAAAAUGUUAAAGUUGCUAUGGUAAUGCUAUUUAGAAUAUUGUUCCGUUUCUGUAGAUUGUUAUGAUCCUGAAGAGGAUGUAAAACAUAGAAAACGUUUGUAUGUAUAAGGAAAUAAACUUUGUGAUUAAUACUGUACUGCAAAAAGUGCUGUAGUUCCUUGGUUUGUGAUUAAUAGUUUUUCCAGUAUAAUAGCAGGAACUGAUUUGCACAGAUCUUUCUGUACCACAAAAAUAAUCUACCACAAGAUGUUGAACAAAUCUAUAGCUUGAUUAAAUAUAAUAUCAACUAGGUUAGCAAUAUCAUAUAAAAUUAUUUUUCAGUCCUGUUUAAUCAUUUCAUCGAUAGCCAAAGCCAUGUUGAUGUCUGUUGUUGAUGAACUUGAACAUCUACUAUGGUAACCUGCUACAUCAUCACUGCAGAAUGAAACACAUGAUAUCAUUUUCCAAAUGUGUCUUGGACAUAAUUUUUCAUAAAUUUCAAUGAGCUGACAAUGAAACUGCUGUCAUGUUCUUAGCCCAUGAAAAUUAUAUUACCCUCUCAUUUCAACCAGAAACCAUGUUUCCAAAUAUCUUACCAUUUUGAAUUAUUAUUAUGUAUCUAUGGCUGACAGGAAAUAAUUAAAAUAUUUAUAAACAAAACAUAUUUCCAACUUCUUUAAUGACACUUAUAUACUUAAGAGAUUGCAUGUUGAAAUUAUGGCUCUUGAAACCUUGUUUUCUAAUUCAUUUUUUAUUUUAUUCAAAAUGUGAAAUGUCUUC